AUGCUAUUAUAUUACCCCUUUUGGAUGUUUAUGAGCUUUAUUUUACACAUUUAUAUCAUUUUUGGGACAAACCUACUAACCGGAGGCCCAGCCCGUAUUGCUUUUUUGUGCCUAUUUCAGUAUUUUGAAGAAAAGGAAUAUCAAACGGAAUCCAAACGGAAUGAAACCUUCGGGAGCGUGAUUUUUGGAACGAACGUGAUCCGAAGAACUUGGAGUGCAAGUCAAGAAGCUUGCGAGGCGGCCAGGAGACAGGAGGGCGCGCCCACCCCCUCUAGGCGCGCCCCUAUCUCCUGGGCCUCACAGGCAGCCAGCGACGUACUUAUUCCUCCUAUAUAUACCCACGUACCCCGAAAACAUCCAGGGAGCCAACAAAAAACAAUUUCCACCGCCGUAACCUUCUGUAUCCGCGAGAUCCCAUCUUGGAGCCUUCACCGGCGCUCCUCCGGAGGGGGAAUCAACCAUGGAGGGCUUCUACAUCAACACCAUAGCCCCUCCGAUGAGUUGUGA
RNAcentral lists this ribosomal RNA (507 nucleotides) under Triticum aestivum (bread wheat). RNAcentral's name for it is "partial small subunit ribosomal RNA". The record is from RNAcentral. Lineage: Eukaryota; Viridiplantae; Streptophyta; Magnoliopsida; Poales; Poaceae.